Molecule: long non-coding RNA, 2622 nt
Organism: Gallus gallus (chicken)
Lineage: Eukaryota; Metazoa; Chordata; Aves; Galliformes; Phasianidae
Exons: 2
Source: RefSeq, a predicted model, not a curated record
GCCCCCCGCCCGUCUCGCCCCGUAUUCCCGCCGCUCCCUGCCCACCUUACCGCGGCGGGGCCGGGGGGCCCCGAGCCAGGCUGGGACAUGGCGGACGGAGAGGCUGCAGGCGGGGGGCGAUCGGCGGCGGCGCGAAGGGGAGAACGCUGCCUAGCCGCGCGGCCAGUCCCUCCUCUUCCUGCCGGGCCGGGGGGGCCGGGGCAGGGCGUCCCAGCUCGCUCCUCCAACGCAGGAGCGGCUUGCGUUGUGUGGCUGUUGUCAAGGUUUGGGGCGGGAGGGGGAAGUGUCGACACUUUCCAACUUUCAAGUGGAGUUACUGACAGUUUUACUGCUUUCUCCCCCCGUGGUAGGCCUUUUCCCGCAGCCUCUUGCCGAGGCUUGUGGAUUCCCACAGUCCUGAGCGCAAAGCUGCUCGUCCUGUGGUGGCCUCAACCUGGGACUGAGACGUGUCCCGCAGCACUGAGGCUCCUGUCCAUAGUACUAACUGGGUACUUGGUCAGAAAGCUUUCCCAGUAUCCCAGCCCGUGGAGUCCUCACAGAACUGAGCUCCUGACUAACAACAGUAAUGACAGCUCUUCCAGAAUACGGCAGGGGUUGUCAUGGUCACACAGAGCUGCUGGAAGUUGAAUCAUGACUGAGUAACUGUGAUCAAAACAGAUAUUCUCUAUAAUAAGGGUAAUAAGAGCAGCAGUGGUUUCUGGACAUGUAUGUGUGUGCUGAGGUCGCAUAUGCCAACAGGAGGAACAAGAAGUUUUCAGGGAGUGCUCCUUCCCUUACCAGCCACGCUCCCUGAAGCAGGAGGACAAAGUCCUGCCCAGCCGCAGAUCAAAGCCAGCUGCUGGGAAGCAGCCCUAGUCGGUGCAGUUGGAUGGGUGGGUGUAUGUGAGGCCCCAGAAUGGCUUCAGCCUCCAGGAGAGAAGCAGGGUGGGUCAGGCACAUCCCCUGCCUGAGGCGUUCCCUGCUCUUCCUGCACUUGGUGCGCUCAUCACUGGCCUUUGAAGUGAUUCAAUAGCAUGUACAGGUUUUGCUUUCCACUCUGCCUCAGAUUUUAAGCACAUGAGUUCACUGUGACGGGAAGAACAGCACGGAGUCCUUCAGCUGCAGGCAGAAGGCCUGUCUGACUCAGUACUCCACGUAGGCAAGUUCGUGUGCUUCGCCCCUUCUAUUGCUACAUGCCUUGUGACAGCAACCAAAGCCGUCAGUGACUGAAAUCCUGGAGUCACACAGAAAUGAGGCAGUAAUACAGGAAAAGCUUCAUGCUGAUCAGUGUCCAGCAGGGUGUUGAGGGUUCUGCUGAUCCAGCACAAGGUAAAUUUUACGUUCCUUGUUGGGAAGUUAGGCAUAAGACAGGAGGUUUGAAACAACCCUCAGAAAUCCUGUUCAGGUCUGCCGUACGUACCUACACAGAAGGACAUACUCUGGAAGAACUCAGCCUGCAUCACCCUGUGCAUAACAUGGCAGCCCUGCCUGGCUCAGAAGGCAUGGCGGAUGCCCUCCAGCACGGGAUAGCUGCAGGGAGGAGCACAGAGCCUUAAUCCAGAUCUUGCAGCAUCUGCAUGCACCUGCAGUGUUCUGGAGAUUGAUUGGGUUUCUAUGUCAUGUUGUUGUUGUUUCCAUUUCAUUUUCUAACAAUUCCUUCACAGCAUCUGCGUUUCUCUUGCAAGUGAGCAAACCCACAGAUACAUGCUGAGAUUUUACAUGGCUCUGGGAGGUCUGCCAAGGGCUGAUCAUGAACAGACGCAGAAGAUGAUGAGCAGUCCAAAAAUUGUUUGUUCAGUGUAUAUCAGCUGGAGCUCUAUGCUUUAAACAGUCGUUUAGAUAUGCACUUUGUGGGUAUAUUUAUACUUAAUCCAAGGUACUGGCAGACAAACUGGAAUGCAGAAUCACUGGUUCGUAUUUCUCUACCAUACUCAGUCUCCAGAGGUCUCCAGUUACUGUGAUAUGCCUGUGGAUAAAAAGGUGCUGAAAGUUCUACCAAGAUCCAACUAAUUUUUUUUGCCACGUAUAUAUAUAUCAUUAACAUAACUUCCAUAAGAGUAGUUCUGCAAGUUCAUGAGUCAUUCCGCAAAUUAAUGAAAUUUAAAAUUUCGUGUAUAAUUGGAUUUUCAUCUGCAACAGUUUUAAAAAAAAGAAGUACAGAAGUAUAAAACAAGUCAAACAAGUUGUUUGCUUAGCCUCCCCCCUCUUCCUCUGACGAGAAACUCUUGUCAGUUUUCUUUCUGUUCUCUUCCCCUGAACUCCAGACAUUGCCUCCUUACGGCCAUUGCAGGAUUUACCUUUUUUCAUUGGGUGACUGCAGUCCCGCCCUGCUUUAACACACCAACAUUAAUGAAGUCUGGAUUGAAGACUUACUGGUGGACUGCAUCCCACUGCUAAAUGGAAACUUGCUUUGCACAGACAGAAGUCUUGACCCUUACACCAACCAAGACAGAAUCAACACCAAAACAGGUGUUGAUUCUAUAGCCUUCCUUGAUUUCUGUAAAUAUAACAAAAUAUUGAUAUAUUGAUAUAUAACAAAAUAUUGAUCUGGAACUUAAUUAAAAAAAUUAAAUUUGAAAUUAAAUAAUUCUUGAAGAUGAAUUUAAUUGAUGUAUACAGAUAAAUAAAGACUUAUUGAAGGUU